RNAcentral lists this ribosomal RNA (230 nucleotides) under Clostridioides difficile. RNAcentral's name for it is "partial 16S ribosomal RNA". It matches the Rfam family "Bacterial small subunit ribosomal RNA", at positions 581 to 811 of the family's 1533-position model. The record is from RNAcentral. Lineage: Bacteria; Bacillati; Bacillota; Clostridia; Peptostreptococcales; Peptostreptococcaceae.
UUUCAAGUCAGGAGUGAAAGGCUACGGCUCAACCGUAGUAAGCUCUUGAAACUGGGAGACUUGAGUGCAGGAGAGGAGAGUGGAAUUCCUAGUGUAGCGGUGAAAUGCGAAGAUAUUAGGAGGAACACCAGUUGCGAAGGCGGCUAUCUGGAGUGUAACUGACGGUGAGGCAAGAAAGCGUGGGGAGCAACCAGGACUAGAUACCGUGGAAGUCCACGCUGUAACCGAUG